This 312-nucleotide long non-coding RNA is filed under the name Sarcophilus harrisii (Tasmanian devil). RNAcentral's name for it is "lncRNA (ENSSHAG00000020769.1)". Lineage: Eukaryota; Metazoa; Chordata; Mammalia; Dasyuromorphia; Dasyuridae. The record is from RNAcentral.
UGGGUUUUGUGAUAUUCAUCCUGCCUUUUCCCACCUCUGGGCAUUUUGUGCAGUCUAUCACCUAAGUACUUCUUCCACAUCUCACCUGGUGAAAUCCUGCUCUACCUUCAAGACCCAGAUAAGAAGCAUACUUUCUCUACUUCAUCUCCCUCCAACUUCUACCCCAUAACAAAAUGUUAGGAAAAUUUUCCUGAUGUCCAAUCUACAUCAUGUUGAAGUGCCAGAUUCCUGAAGCCUGGGCUCAUGGGACUGUUUCUUCAAGGAAAUAGGAGCUCACGUCUCUACAACAUCUUAGAAUUUACGAAGUAGUUU